GAUGAAGAACGUAGCGAAAUGCGAUAAGUAGUGUGAAUUGCAGAAGUACCGUGAAUCAUCGAAUCUUUGAACGCAAAUUGCACUCUCUGGUAUUCCGGGGAGUAUGCCUGUUUGAGGGUCGCUUAACAAACCAUCGAUUUCGUUGCUUUUUUUUUUUAAGUGAUGUUUAUCGGUUUUGAGCCGUCUUUUUUUUUAUAUUUAAGUGGCUUAAAAUUGAUUUUUUUGGUACGAUCGAAGCGUAUUUUUAUGAUCAAUUUUUGGUUAAAGAAACGCACACGUACCGUUAUUUAUAUGAUGUAAUACGUUUGACUAUUGGAUUUAGUUCAUUCGUAUACGAUAUCUUUCAAUAUUUGACCUCAAAUCAGGUAAGAACACCCGCUGAACUUAAGCAUAUCAAUAAGCGGAGGA
This 408-nucleotide unclassified non-coding RNA is filed under the name soil metagenome. RNAcentral describes it as "partial contains 5.8S ribosomal RNA, internal transcribed spacer 2, and large subunit ribosomal RNA". The stretch from base 1 to 121 matches the Rfam family "5.8S ribosomal RNA", at positions 35 to 154 of the family's 154-position model. The record is from RNAcentral.